This 392-nucleotide transfer-messenger RNA is filed under the name Gammaproteobacteria (g-proteobacteria). RNAcentral's name for it is "UBA9339 sp001801345 Standard tmRNA". It matches the Rfam family "transfer-messenger RNA". Rfam says of the family: Bacterial tmRNA, also known as 10Sa RNA or SsrA, is named for its dual tRNA and mRNA-like properties. Its role is to liberate the mRNA from a stalled ribosome. RNAcentral also lists the same sequence under 2 other names. Lineage: Bacteria; Pseudomonadati; Pseudomonadota. The record is from RNAcentral.
GGGGGCGAUCGGAUUCGACGUAGAUUGCGAAGCUCAAGGUGCAUGCCGAGGAAGUGGUCUUACUCGUAAAAUACGACUACAAAACAAAAUAAACGCCAAAAAUAAGCGUUUUGCUUCAAAUUCAGCUGCUAACGACAGACUUGCUUUAUUAGCUGCCUAGGCUGGAUUUGAAAUCCGUUUACAAGAUGUGCUUAUGCGUUUUGCUAAACGGUCAUUUACAUAAGCUGGUAGUUAUGGUUUGUUUGAUAUCAGAACUACUGUAUAAAAUCAAACUAGCUAAUUGUUACUCCUGUUCAUCGGAGACAACAUGCGAAAACUAAAGAUGAACUAAGCAUGUAGCACUGAAAGUAGAGAAUUUGCGGACGCGGGUUCAAUUCCCGCCGCCUCCACCA